Homo sapiens (human) is the source of this 432-nucleotide long non-coding RNA. NCBI's taxonomy places the organism in Eukaryota, Metazoa, Chordata, Mammalia, Primates, Hominidae. The record is from Ensembl.
UUAUAUAUUCAUUUUAUGUUUUUGAAAAUAACACACAUAUUCAAACUAGCACGUGUAAUAGAGAAAUUUCCUAAAAUUUGUACACUGAGUAAACCAUAUUUUUCUAAUGAUUUCGUUGAUAGAGCAGCUUUCUAGAUGCAGCCCUGUUCACAUGUGACUGGUAUUUACCUUCUUUCAUCAAACAUGUCUUUAGAAUCGACUCAAGGCAAGAUGCAGUAGAGAAAUGUAAGAGCCAACUAGAGGAGCCAUUUAACUACUAGGUGCAUCUUCUCCAGCAAGUUCUUCAGCAUCCUUUCCAGAAGCAUUCGACAGCCAAGGAAGCAGGCUACGCCUCACCUACUCCUUCCUGGGCUAAAGAUCUCAGACUUAGUUGCUUAAUUUGGGAAAAAUAAAUUAAAGAAGUCUUCUAUCAUUAUACGCAACAUAGAAUAA